UACGUAGGGUGCAAGCGUUAAUCGGAAUUACUGGGCGUAAAGCGUGCGCAGGCGGUUCGCUAAGACCAAUGUGAAAUCCCCGGGCUUAACCUGGGAACUGCAUUGGUGACUGGCGGGCUAGAGUAUGGCAGAGGGGGGUAGAAUUCCACGUGUAGCAGUGAAAUGCGUAGAGAUGUGGAGGAAUACCGAUGGCGAAGGCAGCCCCCUGGGCCAAUACUGACGCUCAUGCACGAAAGCGUGGGGAGCAAACAGG
RNAcentral lists this ribosomal RNA (253 nucleotides) under uncultured bacterium. Its description in RNAcentral is "partial 16S ribosomal RNA". It matches the Rfam family "Bacterial small subunit ribosomal RNA", at positions 524 to 776 of the family's 1533-position model. The record is from RNAcentral.